Acanthochromis polyacanthus (spiny chromis) is the source of this 1671-nucleotide long non-coding RNA. RefSeq lists it as uncharacterized. The record is from RefSeq and is a predicted model, not a curated record. Lineage: Eukaryota; Metazoa; Chordata; Actinopteri; Pomacentridae. The transcript has 5 exons.
AGCCACAGCAUUCCUAGCUGGCUCUCCCCUUGAACACUGAGCAGAAGGCUGGGGCUAAGGGAGGCAGAAGAGAGGGAAAGGCAGGCUGGAGGAGAGGCAGGGAGAGGGAAGAGCUGAGGCCGGGGUAGGAGCUCCAAGGCUGGGGGUUCAGAGGAUGACAGGCCAGGGGGAGGUUUGGGGGGGGAGACAGUGUGUGAAGGUGGGAGGGCGGGGUGGAAAGGUGAGGAAGAUGGAGGCUGAGGAGAGGCCGCAAGAAAGCUGGAAUGUUAGGCUAGAGAAGGAUGAAGAUGAUAGAGGAGCAGGAAGAUAAAGUGAUAGUGAAGGAGAUGUUGAGAAAGAGCCAGUUGAGGGUGGCAGGGGCUGAAACAGACAGAUAUAUUACUUUUCCUGCAUAGAGGUAGAUAUAGGUGAGCUUUAAAGCUGAGGGAGAAGUCUAAAGCCUGUUAAGAUAUAAGAUGUAACCUAUGCUGGGGCUGGAGAGAAGUAUAGACAAGAGACAUACAAUAAGAGAAAAACAGACAGAAAUUCAGUAAUACAGCUUUCUGAGUGGACAGUCUGCUUUCCUUUUGCUGCCAUGGAUGUAAUGCUGGUUUGGACAGAAGCUGACGUCCAAUCAGACAACAGGACCGUGGCCCCUGUCAUAACGACAACCAUGACAUCAUGGCAAGGGCUAGCGGAGAGAAGACAGCGGAGCUCCAGACAGACAGCGGGGCUGCGCGGGGGCUGCACGCCGACCGCAACGCACCGGCUGCCGGAUCGAACCCCGGCGCGGACUACCGGGAGGAAAGAGGGCGACGGCGCCGAGGGGUUGCCGGAUGGCUACGGCCGGACUGGGAGCCCCGGCCCCGGCCAAGCUGAGGCUCGUUCACCGAGGGGGGAAGCGACAGACAGAUAUGGAGGAGGUUGAGCGAAAUGGCAUCUUGUUUAAUUUCUGCCAAUCAAGACGAGAGGAAGACAACUCCCAAACUGGCAUGAUGUAACAGGAGGGUGAAGACGCGAUCAACAGGCCUGGAAAAAUGCAGGAACCGGAUGGCAAAUGGGAACUGGAGUCGUGGCUGCUGUAAUCUCUGCUGUUCAAUUAGCUGCGCUGACCGGGACGCCACCUACACUUCAUUAGCUGCAAGGCGAAGGUGAGGCUGAUGGAGCAACAACAACCGAGCACACGGGAUGCAGAAGAUGCUGACACACACACACACACACACACACACACACACACACACAUACAACAGUAAAUGGGAGUCUGCUGUCAGGAGGGUGAGCCAUUUCCAGGUGAGGAAAACUGAAUUAAACUGAAUCAAGCUGAACCGAUCUGAACUGGAAUGACCUGCAGUGAAGCGAAAGGAAGGCUUCAGCUGGACGGCUCUCUGAGGUUUGGGGGAAAAAAUCAGUCAGAGAAAUAGCUUGAAAUAAUGCAGAUGAAAACGUGUUGUUUUUGAAGCUUGCCUUCCAGGCUUCCUGUGCUGUAUUUUUAAUAUUUGGGGUUUAUUCACUUUUACAUUAUGUUCUGUAACAUUAAUCAUGACAAAAACCUCAAUCAUGACACUGUAAAUAAUAAGCUUUCUCUUGUCUAUGUGUAAUCUGUAUUUCCCUAUUUUAUUAUGUCUGUCAAAGUUUUUCAAAUAUGUAUGUUCUUGGGGGACAUUGUGGAAUUAAAGAGGUAUAAAAGUGAAA